CCCUCAGCCAGCUGUGUGGACUUUUCAUCACUGGCUAUUUCAGGACAGAGUCCAAGAUAAGCACUUCUCUGGGGCUUCCUUUCAGACAAAGCUCUCCGGAGACUUGAAGCUCAUUAGCCUGACCUUUGGUCUCUGGAGAACAUGAGGAAAUAUCCUACUCUGAGAGAAUGGAAACACCAAGCGCCCAAGGGGCAGGCCUGAGCAACAAGACACAGAGCUAGAAAAGGAGGCAAAGUAAGAGAGUGCCAGAGCAUUAAUAAUUAUAAUAACAGUAAUCUCUCUCGCUCAUGGAGGCUUUACAGUUUAUAAAGCACUGUCACACAUAUUAGCUUAUGGGCUCCACAACACAUCUAAGACUGACAGAGUAACUGUCAUCUCCAUUUUGUAGAUGAAGAGAGCGAGUCCCAGAGAGGUUGUAUGAUUCGUCCAAGGUCACACAGCCAGAGAGCUGCAGAGCUGGACUGAAGCCCAGGUCUGCUGAUUUCGAGUCCUGGGCUCCUCCCCAGAUUGAGAAGAAGAAAUGGCGAUUCUUCUUUACUAGCAUGAAAAACAGGAAAGUGAAGAGACUCACUGGCUGAGAACAGGGAGGAGCCUGAGAGAUCACUGAUCCUGCCUAAACCCGGACGAGCCUCUCCACGCAUCCUCGCUUUACUGGCCCUAUGCUGGUUCUUGAGGACACACUGUGAGACACCCAGACAGCUCAGAGCUGGGAAACAAACAGCAGCAGACAAGAAGCAGCAGAUGGGUUUCCACGGUGAUCGUCUCCUGGAGCUCCGAGUGUCUUCCUUCUUCCUGAAGAUGGAGAUGCAGCAGGAAAAACAUGGAUACAGGAGGGAAACACCAAGUCCCGGUCCUGAUCUACCCCAGAUAGACCGCUUGGUGCCCCUUGAGCAAG
RNAcentral lists this long non-coding RNA (895 nucleotides) under Equus asinus (donkey). Its description in RNAcentral is "lncRNA (ENSEASG00005024369.1)". The record is from RNAcentral. Lineage: Eukaryota; Metazoa; Chordata; Mammalia; Perissodactyla; Equidae.